UUAGAUUGGCUAUAGAUGAAUUGGAGCUAGUAGUUGGCUAUACUAUUGAACUUGCUCUUAUUAAUACAGCCAACUACUAGCUCCAAUUCAUCUAUAGCCA
RNAcentral lists this microRNA precursor (100 nucleotides) under Oryza sativa Indica Group (long-grained rice). RNAcentral describes it as "pre miRNA mir-75". It matches the Rfam family "mir-75 microRNA precursor family". Lineage: Eukaryota; Viridiplantae; Streptophyta; Magnoliopsida; Poales; Poaceae. The record is from RNAcentral.